This 472-nucleotide ribosomal RNA is filed under the name uncultured bacterium. RNAcentral describes it as "partial 16S ribosomal RNA". It matches the Rfam family "Bacterial small subunit ribosomal RNA", at positions 28 to 507 of the family's 1533-position model. The record is from RNAcentral.
GACGAACGCUGGCGGCGUGCUUAACACAUGCAAGUCGAACGCUGAAGCUUGGUGCUUGCACUGGGUGGAUGAGUGGCGAACGGGUGAGUAAUACGUGAGUAACCUGCCCUUGACUCUGGGAUAAGCCUGGGAAACUGGGUCUAAUACUGGAUACGACAUGUCACCGCAUGGUGGUGUGUGGAAAGGGUUUUCUUGGUUUUGGAUGGGCUCACGGCCUAUCAGCUUGUUGGUGGGGUAAUGGCUCACCAAGGCGACGACGGGUAGCCGGCCUGAGAGGGUGACCGGCCACACUGGGACUGAGACACGGCCCAGACUCCUACGGGAGGCAGCAGUGGGGAAUAUUGCACAAUGGGCGAAAGCCUGAUGCAGCGACGCCGCGUGAGGGAUGACGGCCUUCGGGUUGUAAACCUCUUUCAGCAAGGAAGAAGCGAAAGUGACGGUACGUGCAGAAGAAGCGCCGGCUAACUACGUG